RNAcentral lists this ribosomal RNA (863 nucleotides) under Torula sp. RNAcentral's name for it is "partial large subunit ribosomal RNA". It matches the Rfam family "Eukaryotic large subunit ribosomal RNA", at positions 49 to 930 of the family's 3401-position model. The record is from RNAcentral. Lineage: Eukaryota; Fungi; Ascomycota; Dothideomycetes; Pleosporales; Torulaceae.
AGCGGAGGAAAGAACCCCCAGGGGUUGCCCCAGUAACGGCGAGUGAAGCGGCAACAGCUCAAAUUUGAAAUCUGGCCCCCUUGGGGUCCGAGUUGUAAUUUGCAGAGGGAGCUUUUGGCGUCGGUCGUGGUCUAAGUUCCUUGGAACAGGACGUCACAGAGGGUGAGAAUCCCGUACGUGGCCGCCGGCCUUCGCCUUGUAAAGCCCCUUCGACGAGUCGAGUUGUUUGGGAAUGCAGCUCUAAAUGGGAGGUAAAUUUCUUCUAAAGCUAAAUACCCGCCAGAGACCGAUAGCGCACAAGUAGAGUGAUCGAAAGAUGAAAAGCACUUUGGAAAGAGAGUGAAAAAGCACGUGAAAUUGUUGAAAGGGAAGCGCUUGCGGCCAGACUUGCCCGCGGUUGAUCAUCCAGGCUCCAGCCUGGUGCACUCCUCCGCGGGCAGGCCAGCAUCAGUUCGGGCGGUCGGAUAAAGGCCUCUGUCACGUACCACCCCCCGGGGUGGCCUUAUAGGGGAGGCGCAACACGGCCAGUCCGGACUGAGGUUCCGCGCAUCUGCUAGGAUGCUGGCGUAAUGGCAGCAAGCGGCCCGUCUUGAAACACGGACCAAGGAGUCUAACAUCUAUGCGAGUGUUUGGGUGUCAAGCCCGAGCGCGCAAUGAAAGUGAACGGAGGUGGGAACCCCUCGGGGCGCACCAUCGACCGAUCCUGAUGUCUUCGGAUGGAUUUGAGUAAGAGCAUAGCUGUUGGGACCCGAAAGAUGGUGAACUAUGCCUGAAUAGGGUGAAGCCAGAGGAAACUCUGGUGGAGGCUCGCAGCGGUUCUGACGUGCAAAUCGAUCGUCAAAUUUGGGCAUAGGGGCGAAAGA